RNAcentral lists this ribosomal RNA (1411 nucleotides) under Vibrio natriegens. RNAcentral describes it as "bacterial SSU rRNA". The record is from RNAcentral. Lineage: Bacteria; Pseudomonadati; Pseudomonadota; Gammaproteobacteria; Vibrionales; Vibrionaceae.
CGAGCGGAAACGAGUUAACUGAACCUUCGGGGGACGUUAACGGCGUCGAGCGGCGGACGGGUGAGUAAUGCCUAGGAAAUUGCCCUGAUGUGGGGGAUAACCAUUGGAAACGAUGGCUAAUACCGCAUGAUGCCUACGGGCCAAAGAGGGGGACCUUCGGGCCUCUCGCGUCAGGAUAUGCCUAGGUGGGAUUAGCUAGUUGGUGAGGUAAGGGCUCACCAAGGCGACGAUCCCUAGCUGGUCUGAGAGGAUGAUCAGCCACACUGGAACUGAGACACGGUCCAGACUCCUACGGGAGGCAGCAGUGGGGAAUAUUGCACAAUGGGCGCAAGCCUGAUGCAGCCAUGCCGCGUGUGUGAAGAAGGCCUUCGGGUUGUAAAGCACUUUCAGUCGUGAGGAAGGUAGUGURGUUAAUAGMUGCAUUAUUUGACGUUAGCGACAGAAGAAGCACCGGCUAACUCCGUGCCAGCAGCCGCGGUAAUACGGAGGGUGCGAGCGUUAAUCGGAAUUACUGGGCGUAAAGCGCAUGCAGGUGGUUUGUUAAGUCAGAUGUGAAAGCCCGGGGCUCAACCUCGGAAUAGCAUUUGAAACUGGCAGACUAGAGUACUGUAGAGGGGGGUAGAAUUUCAGGUGUAGCGGUGAAAUGCGUAGAGAUCUGAAGGAAUACCGGUGGCGAAGGCGGCCCCCUGGACAGAUACUGACACUCAGAUGCGAAAGCGUGGGGAGCAAACAGGAUUAGAUACCCUGGUAGUCCACGCCGUAAACGAUGUCUACUUGGAGGUUGUGGCCUUGAGCCGUGGCUUUCGGAGCUAACGCGUUAAGUAGACCGCCUGGGGAGUACGGUCGCAAGAUUAAAACUCAAAUGAAUUGACGGGGGCCCGCACAAGCGGUGGAGCAUGUGGUUUAAUUCGAUGCAACGCGAAGAACCUUACCUACUCUUGACAUCCAGAGAACUUUCCAGAGAUGGAUUGGUGCCUUCGGGAACUCUGAGACAGGUGCUGCAUGGCUGUCGUCAGCUCGUGUUGUGAAAUGUUGGGUUAAGUCCCGCAACGAGCGCAACCCUUAUCCUUGUUUGCCAGCGAGUAAUGUCGGGAACUCCAGGGAGACUGCCGGUGAUAAACCGGAGGAAGGUGGGGACGACGUCAAGUCAUCAUGGCCCUUACGAGUAGGGCUACACACGUGCUACAAUGGCGCAUACAGAGGGCGGCCAACUUGCGAAAGUGAGCGAAUCCCAAAAAGUGCGUCGUAGUCCGGAUUGGAGUCUGCAACUCGACUCCAUGAAGUCGGAAUCGCUAGUAAUCGUGGAUCAGAAUGCCACGGUGAAUACGUUCCCGGGCCUUGUACACACCGCCCGUCACACCAUGGGAGUGGGCUGCAAAAGAAGUAGGUAGUUUAACCUUCGGGGGGACGC